This 80-nucleotide transfer RNA is filed under the name Aureococcus anophagefferens. Lineage: Eukaryota; Pelagophyceae; Pelagomonadales; Pelagomonadaceae. The record is from RNAcentral.
AUCUGUAUCCGCAAUAACAAAAGAAUUAGAAUUAAAUCUUCUGAGUUGUGUCAAAAUCGAAGAUAUGAAAAUAAAACGCA